GAUGAACGCUGGCGGCGUGCCUAAUACAUGCAAGUCGAGCGAACAGACGAGGAGCUUGCUCCUCUGACGUUAGCGGCGGACGGGUGAGUAACACGUGGAUAACCUACCUAUAAGACUGGGAUAACUUCGGGAAACCGGAUCUAAUACCGGAUAAUAUAUUGAACCGCAUGGUUCAAUAGUGAAAGACGGUUUUGCUGUCACUUAUAGAUGGAUCCGCGCCGCAUUAGCUAGUUGGUAAGGUAACGGCUUACCAAGGCAACGAUGCGUAGCCGACCUGAGAGGGUGAUCGGCCACACUGGAACUGAGACACGGUCCAGACUCCUACGGGAGGCAGCAGUAGGGAAUCUUCCGCAAUGGGCGAAAGCCUGACGGAGCAACGCCGCGUGAGUGAUGAAGGUCUUCGGAUCGUAAAACUCUGUUAUUAGGGAAGAACAACUGUGUGAGUAACUAUGCCCGUCUUGACGGUACCUAAUCAGAAAGCCACGGCUAACUACGUG
Molecule: ribosomal RNA, 497 nt
Filed under: uncultured bacterium
Lineage: Bacteria
Description: partial 16S ribosomal RNA
Rfam family: Bacterial small subunit ribosomal RNA
Source: RNAcentral